RNAcentral lists this unclassified non-coding RNA (361 nucleotides) under Pradosia schomburgkiana. RNAcentral describes it as "partial contains external transcribed spacer and 18S ribosomal RNA". The record is from RNAcentral. Lineage: Eukaryota; Viridiplantae; Streptophyta; Magnoliopsida; Ericales; Sapotaceae.
UCCUGCGUUGGUUGCCUAAUGUGACGGAAAUUGACCCCAAAUGAGUCUGAAUUUUUGCCUCUCACCAAUUUGCGGUGUUAGGUUGACGUGGAAGUACUGCCCAUUGUCCUUGAAUGCUUCGCCCUUUCGCGUUGCAAUCCUGGCCCAUGGGUUGCUACUAGUUUCCUCGGAUGCAGAACCUUUGAAGGGUGUACAGCAUAUUUCUAUUGCUUACCCACAAAGCGUUCAUGGCUCGAUGUGUACGACGGCCGUGCCCGCCUCUGUCCCAUCUUUACCCCGUAUGGAUGGGGCCCAUGCGGUGCCGGCGUCACGAAGGAAUGCUACCUGGUUGAUCCUGCCAGUAGUCAUAUGCUUGUCUCAA